UUAACUAUUAUAUAGUACUCAGACAGUAUAGACAGACAGAGUUUAGGUCCCCUGGCAGGCACGGGCCGGCCGGAGCCGGCGGUCCGAGGACGGGCCUGCCAAAGCAACAAAGGUGUAAUAAACAUAGGGUGGAAGAUAUGCCCGUCCGAGAUACUCGAGGUCCUCAUAGGGUUACUUCAGUCUAAUGAUCCUUCCGCAGGUUCACCUACGGAAA
This 214-nucleotide unclassified non-coding RNA is filed under the name uncultured fungus. RNAcentral's name for it is "sequence contains ITS1". Lineage: Eukaryota; Fungi. The record is from RNAcentral.